This 252-nucleotide ribosomal RNA is filed under the name uncultured bacterium. Its description in RNAcentral is "partial 16S ribosomal RNA". It matches the Rfam family "Bacterial small subunit ribosomal RNA", at positions 1249 to 1500 of the family's 1533-position model. The record is from RNAcentral.
ACGACCCUGUGAAGGCAAGCAGAUCCCAAAAAUAACGUCUCAGUUCGGAUUGUAGUCUGCAACUCGACUACAUGAAGCUGGAAUCGCUAGUAAUCGCGAAUCAGCAUGUCGCGGUGAAUACGUUCCCGGGUCUUGUACACACCGCCCGUCACACCAUGGGAGUCGGAAAUGCCCGAAGCCAGUGACCCAACCAUAAGGAGGGAGCUGUCGAAGGUAGAAUCAAUGAUUGGGGUGAAGUCGUAACAAGGUAAC